Molecule: ribosomal RNA, 254 nt
Filed under: uncultured bacterium
Lineage: Bacteria
Description: partial 16S ribosomal RNA
Rfam family: Bacterial small subunit ribosomal RNA
Source: RNAcentral
UACGGGGGGAGCAAGCGUUGUUCGGAUUUACUGGGCGUAAAGGGCGCGUAGGCGGCCAGUGCAAGUCAGUUGUGAAAUCUCCGAGCUUAACUCGGAAAGGUCAACUGAUACUGCUCGGCUAGAGUGCGGAAGGGGCAACUGGAAUUCUUGGUGUAGCGGUGAAAUGCGUAGAUAUCAAGAGGAACACCUGCGGCGAAGGCGGGUUGCUGGGCCGACACUGACGCUGAAGUGCGAAAGCUAGGGGAGCGAACGGG